This 293-nucleotide ribosomal RNA is filed under the name uncultured bacterium. Its description in RNAcentral is "partial 16S ribosomal RNA". It matches the Rfam family "Archaeal small subunit ribosomal RNA", at positions 455 to 747 of the family's 1478-position model. The record is from RNAcentral.
GUGCCAGCAGCCGCGGUAAUACCGGCAGCCCGAGUGAUGGCCGAUCUUAUUAGGCCUAAAGUGUCCGUAGCUGGCUGCGCAAGUCCGUCGGGAAAUCCACUCGCUCAACGAGUGGGCGUCCGACGGAAACUGCACAGCUUGGGACCGGAAGGCUCGAAGGGUACGUUCGGGGUAGGAGUGAAAUCCCGUAAUCCCGGACGGACUACCGAUGGCGAAAGCACUCUGAGAAGACGGCUUCGACAGUGAGGGACGAAAGCUCGGGUCUCAAACCGGAUUAGAUACCCCAGUAGUCC